Molecule: ribosomal RNA, 253 nt
Filed under: uncultured bacterium
Lineage: Bacteria
Description: partial 16S ribosomal RNA
Rfam family: Bacterial small subunit ribosomal RNA
Source: RNAcentral
GACGUAGGGCGCGAGCGUUGUCCGGAUUUAUUGGGCGUAAAGAGCUCGUAGGCGGCUUGUCGCGUCGACUGUGAAAACCCGCGGCUCAACUGUGGGCUUGCAGUCGAUACGGGCAGGCUGGAGUUCGGUAGGGGAGACUGGAAUUCCUGGUGUAGCGGUGAAAUGCGCAGAUAUCAGGAAGAACACCAAUGGCGAAAGCAGCUCUCUGGGACGGUACUGACGCUGAGACGCGAAAGCGUGGGGAGCGAACAGG